RNAcentral lists this ribosomal RNA (446 nucleotides) under uncultured bacterium. Its description in RNAcentral is "partial 16S ribosomal RNA". It matches the Rfam family "Bacterial small subunit ribosomal RNA", at positions 338 to 795 of the family's 1533-position model. The record is from RNAcentral.
CCUACGGGAGGCAGCAGUCGAGAAUUAUUCACAAUGGGGGAAACCCUGAUGGUGCGACGCCGCGUGGGGGAAUGAAGGUCUUCGGAUUGUAAACCCCUGUCAUGUGGGAGCAAAUUAAAAUGACAGUACCACAAGAGGAAGAGACGGCUAAAUCUGGGCCAGCAGCCGUGGUAAUACAGAGGUCUCAAGCGUUGUUCGGAAUCACUGGGCGUAAAGUGUGCGUAGGUGGUUUCGUAAGUCGUGUGUGAAAGGCGCGGGCUCAACCCGCGGACGGCACAUGAUACUGCGAGACUAGAGUAAUGGGGGAGGAACCGGGAUUCUCGGUGUAGGAGUGAAAUGCGUAGAUAUCGAGAGGAACACUCGGGGCGAAGGCGGGUUCCUGGACAUUAACUGACGCUGAGGCACGAAGGCCAGGGGAGCGAAAGGGAUUAGAUACCCCAGUAGUC